GCCCACUGGCCAGCACAGAAUCUUAUUUCAACUUGGUGUGUUACAUGGACCCAAUCUGUUUUUCAUACUAUCAUGUUGUAGAAUGCCUUGAAUUCAAUCAGAUGACCUCAAUGGGUGCUCCUUGUAUUCACAUUCAGAAAUGUUUCCAUGUUUUCCCAAUAGGAUAACUUUCUUUUCUUGUGUAGUAUCAUCUUAGAAGAUCUUUGUUGUGAUCUAAGUAUAGGAUUUGGAGGGCAUGUUGGAUUUGAGUCUUGAAUCUAACACUUAUUAGCAGUGUCUACUUGCUUGACUUCUUAGAGCCUCAGUUUUCUCAUCUGUAGAUGGAAUGAUGUUAGUGAUAGUAUUAUUGGGAGAAAAAGUGAAAUGAAUGUAUUAUCAUCUAUGAGCAUAUGUAGUAGAUGCCACAUAAAAGAUUAUUCUUGCUCUUCUUUUUCAGUGAGCCUAAGACAAUACAGAUGUUGCUUGAUUUAUUGUGGAGUUGCAUCCCAAUAAACCCAUCAUAAAUUGAAAAUAGAAGUCAGCCAAAAGUGCAUUUAAUACACCUAACCUACUUUAGCCCAGCCGACCUUAAACAUGCUUGGAACACUAUCAUAAUCUGGGGCCAGAUCAUCUAAUGUAAACACUGUUUAUAAUCAAGUAAAUGUUGAUUAUGUCAUGUAUCUUACCAAAACUGUACUGAAAGUGAAAACCAGAAUUGUUGGGUGGGUACUUGAAUAAUAGUUUCUACUAACUGCAUAUCACCUUUGCACUGUUGUAAAGAUGAAAAAUCAUAAAUUGAACCAUUGCAAAUUGGGGAUCAUGUGUAUAAGACAAGCAGAUAAUACAACUAACUCAUUGUAACCAUCCAUAUUCUUGUGUUCACAAGCUUAUCAUCCAAGGCCUCACUGGUUGGAAUUCAUUUUAUAAUUAUCCAGAAGGAUUUGAGAGAAGAGGUUUUAAUCUUAUUUUAGGAACAGAAGG
Molecule: long non-coding RNA, 960 nt
Filed under: Marmota monax (woodchuck)
Lineage: Eukaryota; Metazoa; Chordata; Mammalia; Rodentia; Sciuridae
Source: RNAcentral